ACGGAGGAUGCAAGCGUUAUCCGGAUUUAUUGGGUUUAAAGGGUGCGCAGGCGGUUUUACAAGUCAGUGGUGAAAGUCUGUCGCUUAACGUCAGGAUUGCCAUUGAUACUGUAUGACUUGAGUAUGGAUGAGGGAGGUGGAAUGUGUAGUGUAGCGGUGAAAUGCGUAGAGAUGUGGAGGAACACCGAUGGCGAAGGCAGCCCCCUGGGCCACGACUGACGCUGAUGCACGAAAGCGUGGGGAGCAAACAG
Molecule: ribosomal RNA, 251 nt
Filed under: uncultured prokaryote
Description: partial 16S rRNA
Rfam family: Bacterial small subunit ribosomal RNA
Source: RNAcentral